Molecule: ribosomal RNA, 2067 nt
Filed under: Shigella flexneri
Lineage: Bacteria; Pseudomonadati; Pseudomonadota; Gammaproteobacteria; Enterobacterales; Enterobacteriaceae
Description: partial 23S ribosomal RNA
Rfam family: Bacterial large subunit ribosomal RNA
Source: RNAcentral
GGUUAAGCGACUAAGCGUACACGGUGGAUGCCCUGGCAGUCAGAGGCGAUGAAGGACGUGCUAAUCUGCGAUAAGCGUCGGUAAGGUGAUAUGAACCGUUAUAACCGGCGAUUUCCGAAUGGGGAAACCCAGUGUGAUUCGUCACACUAUCAUUAACUGAAUCCAUAGGUUAAUGAGGCGAACCGGGGGAACUGAAACAUCUAAGUACCCCGAGGAAAAGAAAUCAACCGAGAUUCCCCCAGUAGCGGCGAGCGAACGGGGAGCAGCCCAGAGCCUGAAUCAGUGUGUGUGUUAGUGGAAGCGUCUGGAAAGGCGUGCGAUACAGGGUGACAGCCCCGUACACAAAAAUGCACAUACUGUGAGCUCGAUGAGUAGGGCGGGACACGUGGUAUCCUGUCUGAAUAUGGGGGGACCAUCCUCCAAGGCUAAAUACUCCUGACUGACCGAUAGUGAACCAGUACCGUGAGGGAAAGGCGAAAAGAACCCCGGCGAGGGGAGUGAAAAAGAACCUGAAACCGUGUACGUACAAGCAGUGGGAGCACGCUUAGGCGUGUGACUGCGUACCUUUUGUAUAAUGGGUCAGCGACUUAUAUUCUGUAGCAAGGUUAACCGAAUAGGGGAGCCGAAGGGAAACCGAGUCUUAACUGGGCGUUAAGUUGCAGGGUAUAGACCCGAAACCCGGUGAUCUAGCCAUGGGCAGGUUGAAGGUUGGGUAACACUAACUGGAGGACCGAACCGACUAAUGUUGAAAAAUUAGCGGAUGACUUGUGGCUGGGGGUGAAAGGCCAAUCAAACCGGGAGAUAGCUGGUUCUCCCCGAAAGCUAUUUAGGUAGCGCCUCGUGAAUUCAUCUCCGGGGGUAGAGCACUGUUUCGGCAAGGGGGUCAUCCCGACUUACCAACCCGAUGCAAACUGCGAAUACCGGAGAAUGUUAUCACGGGAGACACACGGCGGGUGCUAACGUCCGUCGUGAAGAGGGAAACAACCCAGACCGCCAGCUAAGGUCCCAAAGUCAUGGUUAAGUGGGAAACGAUGUGGGAAGGCCCAGACAGCCAGGAUGUUGGCUUAGAAGCAGCCAUCAUUUAAAGAAAGCGUAAUAGCUCACUGGUCGAGUCGGCCUGCGCGGAAGAUGUAACGGGGCUAAACCAUGCACCGAAGCUGCGGCAGCGACGCUUAUGCGUUGUUGGGUAGGGGAGCGUUCUGUAAGCCUGUGAAGGUGUGCUGUGAGGUAUGCUGGAGGUAUCAGAAGUGCGAAUGCUGACAUAAGUAACGAUAAAGCGGGUGAAAAGCCCGCUCGCCGGAAGACCAAGGGUUCCUGUCCAACGUUAAUCGGGGCAGGGUGAGUCGACCCCUAAGGCGAGGCCGAAAGGCGUAGUCGAUGGGAAACAGGUUAAUAUUCCUGUACUUGGUGUUACUGCGAAGGGGGGACGGAGAAGGCUAUGUUGGCCGGGCGACGGUUGUCCCGGUUUAAGCGUGUAGGCUGGUUUUCCAGGCAAAUCCGGAAAAUCAAGGCCGAGGCGUGAUGACGAGGCACUACGGUGCUGAAGCAACAAAUGCCCUGCUUCCAGGAAAAGCCUCUAAGCAUCAGGUAACAUCAAAUCGUACCCCAAACCGACACAGGUGGUCAGGUAGAGAAUACCAAGGCGCUUGAGAGAACUCGGGUGAAGGAACUAGGCAAAAUGGUGCCGUAACUUCGGGAGAAGGCACGCUGAUACGUAGGUGAAGCGACUUGCUCGUGGAGCUGAAAUCAGUCGAAGAUACCAGCUGGCUGCAACUGUUUAUUAAAAACACAGCACUGUGCAAACACGAAAGUGGACGUAUACGGUGUGACGCCUGCCCGGUGCCGGAAGGUUAAUUGAUGGGGUUAGCGCAAGCGAAGCUCUUGAUCGAAGCCCCGGUAAACGGCGGCCGUAACUAUAACGGUCCUAAGGUAGCGAAAUUCCUUGUCGGGUAAGUUCCGACCUGCACGAAUGGCGUAAUGAUGGCCAGGCUGUCUCCACCCGAGACUCAGUGAAAUUGAACUCGCUGUGAAGAUGCAGUGUACCCGCGGCAAGACGGAAAGACCCCG